Hesseltinella vesiculosa is the source of this 72-nucleotide non-coding RNA. Lineage: Eukaryota; Fungi; Mucoromycota; Mucoromycetes; Mucorales; Cunninghamellaceae. The record is from the annotation of a GenBank genome assembly.
UCCCGUAUGGUCUAGUGGCUAGGAUCCUGCUCUCUCACAGCAGUGGCCGGGGUUCAAUUCCCCGUGCGGGAA